UGCUAAUGAGAGCUGAAUUCAGAUUUUUCAAAGCUAAAAAAUUCAAGAAAAACUAAAAUGAUUGAAGAAAAAUUGAUGAAAAAUACUAUUCCAAUGAACUCUUGUUCUGAAAAUUUGAAGUUUUCUUUCAUUAUUAGAACAAUUUCUGAUUCCCUUUUGAGGUGUAAAAUAGUUUGAACUUGGGUAUUGGAAGAACUGGGUUGAUUUUGUUGGCCGAUUCAGUGUUUUUUAAGUUUUCUGGGUGGUUUACACUGUUCCAUUGCCGAAGUGGUUUUGAUCCAGGCUGCUUGCUGUUGUUUCUUGCUAAUCUUCUCAUUUCCCUUUUAUUUUUGCUCUCCAGGUACAUUCUCUUAAGCUCUACUUGAUGUAAGUUCUAUAGUGAAGAUGGAAGUAAAAGCUGAAAACAUGACAAUGAAUUUUGUGUUGAUUUAUUUACACUUUUCUUCAUGUUGUUGUUGUUGUUGUUGUGGUGGUGGUUGUUGUUGUUGUGGUUGUUGCUGUUGUUGGUGUUGUUGCUGUUGUUGUUGUUGUUGUUGCUGUUGCUGUUGUUGUUGUUGGUGGUGCUGUUGUUGUUGCUGCUGUUGCUGUUGGUGCUGCUGUUGUUAUUAUUGUUGUUGUUGUUGUUGUUGUUGCUGUUGUUGUUGCUGUUGUUGUUGUUGUUGUUGUUGUUGUUGUUGUUGUAUUUUUGGUCAUUUGAGACGUCAUGAGUUCUAGUAAGUGUUAUCUGAAUAGAUAAAUUCAUAUAAUUGUAAUUGAAUUGGGACUAUGGAAUUGUUGUUUGGGAGGACUCAAUCGUAUUAGAUGAAUCCUCGAUUUGUUUGGCUUUAGAUGAGUGAGGUGGUAGUAUAUUUGAAGGUGUUGUGAGCAGAAAUCGCGUUACUUUGCUUACAGAAUCAACACUUCACAUUUGGUCUGAAUGUUCGCUGUCAAUUGUUCUUUUAUUUUUUCAGUGCUUCUUCUUGCACUAGCACUAACAAUUUUCCACUGAAUAUGUUUGCAGACAAGGGUUAAUCUAUAUGUGGCGGUGAGAAAUAAAAGGGGAAAGUAGAGUCCUCCCUGGGUAGGGGAUAAGGAUAAAUUAAGUUAAUACCAGCAAUACGGAAAUCAAUUAGGCAAAUGAGGAAGGACAUUAGAGCUACAAAUAGAGCUACUUCCUACUCAGAGAGAAGUGACUAUGUACCCUCCCGGGAGGCCUCACAGGGUGACUCUGUACCAGCAUUUAAAAGGAAGCUAAUAAGUAGUUUGUACUUUCAGUAAGCAUGAUUAUGUAGUUAGUGUUUUCAAUGAUUUUUCAAUUUCUAAUGUGUCAAUGACUCUCAUAUGAAUGUGUUUAAGCCUG
RNAcentral lists this long non-coding RNA (1339 nucleotides) under Nicotiana benthamiana. Its description in RNAcentral is "long non-coding RNA (NBEN_LNC020724)". Lineage: Eukaryota; Viridiplantae; Streptophyta; Magnoliopsida; Solanales; Solanaceae. The record is from RNAcentral.